CUUCAGGUGAAAAUUUCCAGUAUCCAUAUUCGUUAUGAAGAUGAUAUCACAAAUCGGGACAAACCGCUGUCAUUUGGUAUUUCCCUUCAAAAUCUGAGCAUGCAGGAACAAGCUGUUUUGGAUAAAGUUUGAAUCCCUUUUGUUUUCUACUUCUACCCACCCGUCCUUCCCCAGAGAUAAAUAUCCCAAAUUUUAAAACUUUUAUAUAAUAUAUCUAUUAAAAAUGUAGGAUUUUAAAAGUUUACGCAUGUUUUAUAUGACUCUUUUAUGAGUUCCUUUUUGCACUUUCCAGUGUUUUUGACAUUUAUCUGUGUUGCCACAUGUAACAAAAUUCAUUCAGUUUAACUGCUGUGUAUUUCAUUGCAUGAUUAUUUGUUAUAUGUAUUGGGUUUUGUGUAUGAUUUCUUUUUAAUUUUAUUAUUAUUUUUAAAUUGGGCAGCCUCCCAAGCCAGAGCAGGGUCAGAGAGACUCCACAGUUUCUUUUUAAAAUGUGGCCCCACUGCAAUGAAA
RNAcentral lists this small RNA (510 nucleotides) under Pongo abelii (Sumatran orangutan). RNAcentral describes it as "processed transcript". Lineage: Eukaryota; Metazoa; Chordata; Mammalia; Primates; Hominidae. The record is from RNAcentral.